This 774-nucleotide ribosomal RNA is filed under the name uncultured Neocallimastigales. RNAcentral's name for it is "partial large subunit ribosomal RNA". It matches the Rfam family "Eukaryotic large subunit ribosomal RNA", at positions 26 to 635 of the family's 3401-position model. The record is from RNAcentral. Lineage: Eukaryota; Fungi; Neocallimastigomycota; Neocallimastigomycetes; Neocallimastigales.
CGCAUCUGUGCAUGCAGCAUAUCAAUAAGCGGAGGAAAAGAAACUAACAAGGAUUCCCCUAGUAACGACGAGUGAAGCGGGAAGAGCUCAAAUUUGAAAUCUUAAAGGGUUUCCCUUUACGAAUUGUAGUUUAAAGAAGUGUUUUCUGUUGAGGUUUUGGUAAAAGUUCUUUGGAAUAGGACAUCAUAGAGGGUGAGAAUCCCGUAUUUGACCUUUACUUUCAACUUUGUGAUACACUUUCAAAGAGUCGGAUUGUUUGGGAAUGCAGUCCAAAAUGGGUGGUAAAUUUCAUCUAAAGCUAAAUAUUGGCGAGAGACCGAUAGCGAACAAGUACCGUGAGGGAAAGAUGAAAAGAACUUUGAAAAGAGAGUUAAACAGUACGUGAAAUUGUCAAAAGGGAAGCGUUUGACACCAGUGCUGUUUUUCUGAAAAUCAAUUAAAGAACUGUUUAUGCUAAGCUGUUUAGACUUUAUCAGCUAUCUGUUUAGUUUUGAGCUUUUCUUUAAUGCACUUUUCAGUUAACAAGUCAACAUCAAUUUCUUUUGCUGUAAAAAAGCUUGAGGAAGGUAGCUUGAGAUUCGUCUUAAGUGUUUAUAGCCUCUUGCCUAUGCAGUCGGAGAGAUUGAGGUCUGCAGCGUAGAUCCUUCGGGGCUAAAUGCAUUUGUGCUAAGUUAUAACAUUUUAUAGACAACUUGUUGACUAUGAUUUGUCUUGUAGCUUACUCGCUUAUGUUAUUUUACCUACGCUUAGGAUGUUGAACGCGCACAGAGUCUC